RNAcentral lists this long non-coding RNA (5413 nucleotides) under Sus scrofa (pig). RNAcentral describes it as "lncRNA (ENSSSCG00000058973.1)". Lineage: Eukaryota; Metazoa; Chordata; Mammalia; Artiodactyla; Suidae. The record is from RNAcentral.
GCUGUGUUAAGCUACUUAUAUCUUAUUCAGAAUCUGAAAUACUUGAUUGAUGCAUAAUUGGUUAAUUCUAAUAAUUGGUGAACUCUCCAUGCUAAAUUCCAGUUCUUAGUCCUAAAUAUCACAUGAAAUUUAUAUACUCUUCUUUUCAACUAGUAUAUCUAUAUGAAACAGUUACUUUCUAAUUAAAGCCCUCACUUUUUAACUUCAGAAGAUUAAAAUCUGAUUUUGUGUCUAAUAUAAGAAAAUUUUGUUUAGCUUAAUAUCAUUUAUGUUCUAUAGUUUUCCCUUUGAAAAUAGCAUAUGAUUUCCAAAAGAUUAUUUUCACAUAUACUAUGUCCAGGAUGCUAAAUAAAAAUAGAACAAAUAAAAAUAAGACUAAAUUUUCUAGAAUAAAUAAAAGUAAAAAAUAAUUUAAAAUUUAUUUACCUAAGGAUUUUGCUGUAAUUAUUUAAGCUACAACUAAAAAUUCUGUUUAAAUUUUGAUUUAGGAUAGUUUAAUUGCUGUAUCCAAUAUUAAAUUUUAGAUUCUUAGAAUUUUUGAAAAAUCUUUUGAUAACCUGUGCAUUGAAAUUUUCCUUAUCAUAAUUUUUAGACCAUAUUUUGACAACUGCAAUUCUAUUUAACUCUAACCAUUUAGAGCUUGAUUACAUAUUAUUUUUCAUUACUUAAGUUCUUUCUCAUCCAGAUCAUAAUGUACAUAAGCACAAGGGCAGAAAUUAUCAAAUAUGUGCUCAAAAAUGUUUGAAUGAAUUAAUAAAAUAUAUUUUUGUUUUAAAUCUGAUAAUGGGAUUUCCUGUUGAGGCUCAGUGGUUAACAAAUCUGACUAGGAACCAUGAGGUUGCGGGUUCGAUCCCUCGCCUUGCUCAGUGGGUUAAGGAUCUGGCGUUGCCAUGAGCUAUGGUGUAGGUCGCAGACACAAUUCAGAUCCCACGUUGCUGUGGCUCUGACGUAGGCCGGUGGCUACAGCUCUGAUUCAACCCCUAGCAUGGGAACCUCCAUAUGCAGUGGGUGCAGCCCUAGAAAAGACAAAAACACAAACAAACAAAAAAACUUAAAAUGUCUCACACAGAGUAGGCACUCAAAUAAUUACCAGCUUCUUAAUAAGCUGAUAACAAUAAGAUAUAUUCCUAAGGCAUUCAUACUUUAUUAGUGCUCUUAAGAAUUACUUUUUUGCUUUGUUUAAAAUGGCGAAUUAUUUUCUGUUGGCCAAGUGUUUUUCAUGUCCAUAAAUAUCAGCAUAAAAUUAGAAUGAGAUGAAGGAUUCUGCUGACAAUGCAGGGCAGCAAAAUUCACCAUCAAACAAAAUGUAAGUACCAGGUAGUUAUUUAUGCUACUACUCCUUCACUUUUUCUUUGGGCUCUGUUCCUUCUGAGUUAUUGAGUAAGAGUAACAAUAAAAAAGAGUGGUAAGAGUAACAAUAAAAAAGAGAAAUAUGCUAAGGUAUGUAGAUAAUAGACAAUGUGAUCCUUGUGACUGAGUCCCCACAUCACAUUAAUUAGUCACAGAGGAAAUUAUAAGUAAAGAGCCCCAAGGAUCACAUGGAAGUUAGUUUUAGACAAUCCUAGUUCUAUCUCUUUUGAUCUGAGAAAAAUACAGGUAAAAAUCUAGUAGAGUUUAUAUUGAGGAAUUAUUGCAAUUAAUGACUAAACAGCAUCCCCCAAAUUCUGAAGAAAUGAUUAUUAUGUUACUGACUACCACAUAAAAUAUCCAUUGAAUAUCCACAGUAGGGCAGAGAGUAGUAGUAAGAAAGAACUGUCAGACAGAGUUGACAUAGCUCAUUUUGAUGCAGAGUACUCUGGGGACAUAUUGUAUAAGGUUGAAGACGACUGUAAAUACUCAAAGGCAAACAAUGCACAAACACUGAAUGUGAAUUUGAGAAUAUAUGAGGGAGCCAAAGGUGUACAUAAUCCACAAUAUGAAUAGUUUAUUAAGGGACAAAUGAUUUAUCACUUCCCAAUAAAUUAAACAUGCCCUAAACUAAUCAUUGUUCCAUUUAUAUUCCAAACAAUUUCAAUAUCCAACCUCUUAUUAAUUUUAAUGAAACGUAAUUUUUAGUUUUCAAAAAAACUUUAGAGUCAUUUCAUAUUUUUCUUUCUUUUUUCAUAAAUGUCUCAUAUAUACAAUGAGUCACCAAGUUAGAUUUGUUUCUCUAAUUUAGAAAUAUCACCAAUCUUUUUGCCAUGACUCCAGUCCAAGCCUUCAUCACAGAACCUGAAAUUACAGUAGACUCUUAAAUGAUUUUUCUAUCUCCCCUCAUCAAAUCUACACUGUACAUGUUUACUACAUAAUCUUUCUAUAUAUUCAUUUUUUGACUCUCUUCUUAAAUAUCUUCACUGACUCUUAACCAUGUCCGGAAUAAAGUCCUAUCCACUGUGAUUGGUUUUCACAGCUCUUCAGAGAUUGGCUCUGUAUUGGCAGUCUAACUUUAACGCUUAGCCUUUAUCUAACAUGAGCCCUGUAUGUGAACUAGGUUGUCGUUCCCAAGGUUGGGUGGACAAUUCCAUCCCAAAUUCGUUUUGUGCUUUUUUCUCUGGCUGGAAUUUAUCUACUCUCUUAUCUAUGUAACUAAAUCUAACCAUCCAUUAAAACAUAGCUACCACUCCUCCUUUUCCUAAAAGCCUUUAGUGUCUGAAAACAUGCUUGCUAAUAUUGUUUAGAAGUGAAAUAUUUAAUGUGAAUUCCUAUGUCCUCUCCAAAAUUAAGAACUAGCUCACAUUUUAUUCCUCUUAUCUACAUCUCUAGUACUCUUCUACUCUGUGAUUCAUAUGUAGUCAGUAAAUUCACUUAGAAUAUGCAAUGAGGUUCUUAUCUUAAAAAUAGUUACCAAAUCAAAUCAGAUUUGAAAAAUAUGAAAAUUCAUUUGUAAUGAGUGCUUUGCUUUCAAUAUAUAUUUGAGUUCUGACAAAAUACUUAGAUAAUCUGUUCUCUAAAUGCCUAAAACACAUUUCACUUUCUAAAAAGUUGUCAAGCAAAUCUUUUGUUCAAAAGCAUAAAUAAUAUAAAUUUCAAUUCAGCUUCAUAUUUCAAUUAUCACUAUUAUCAAUAUUCAAAUAAGCUGCAUCUAAAUUAGGUCUUUUUUAGCACCAAAUCAUCAAGUGGAUCUGUUUGAUAUCAAUAAUUACUAAGGGAUUAUGAAUAUUACCAAACAGGGAAUUAAUCAAUUCUUUAACUAGAAUCAAGGAAUAGUCAUAAAAACCCUGUUACAUCAAAGCCUUAUUUUUCCUGGACAGGAAUAUGAAGUAUUUAAUCUAGAGAAAAAUGACCCUCAUAUUCUAUUAAGAUUCACUUCUACUACUCAAGGCUUUCAAUUAUGUAACACUACAAUGAGAUCAUGGUAAAAAUGUCAAGAUAAACAUAUUUUAACUCAUGAUGAACAUAUUCAACAGAGUCCUCUGGAUGCAAACCUUCCUGCAAAGUAUUUUGUUGCUGUGUUUUCAAAUUGCAAAACUUUAACAAACCAAGGACUGAAGAAGCACAAAAGGCAAAUUAAUUAAAUCAUAUUCCAUUUUUUAAUGGAAAAUUUAUGUCAACACUUAUAAAGAUGUAACCAUCAUGUUUUUAAUGAAAAAUCUGACUGCAAUUUCAUGCCAUUUUCAGUAUCAUGUUGGGAAAAUAGUAUUGAAGGGGAAAUCUUUUGAACAAAUUGAUGAAAAAAACCAUGAGUCCACAAAUAAUUACAAGAUUUUAUCUUCGAAAAGAGUAAAAUCUGUCCUUUGACAAUUCCACAGAAUGUAACAAAAACAUAUUUUAUGAUAGUUUUAAAAUGAGGGAUUAAAAAAACAAAGUGACAGGAUUUUUAAAUAUUUUAUGGCUAUAUAUAUUAACAGAUACCUACGACCUGCACAUUCACCUCAAGUCUCAUAAUUCCAUCUGUAGGAAAAGAAGAAUAACUUAUUUAAGAGAACUUAACUAAUACAUUUCUAAAACAUGCUUAUUAAAAGGUUUCCAAAGUGCUGAGGGAGAACUGUUAAAUGAUUAGAAACAAUCACACUCUGUCAAUUUCUUUGGAUUACAAAUUACAUAUACUUUUUGUUUGUUUCACUGAAUGAGUACAACCAAUUUUAAAAUUAGUACAGAUGCAUUUUAAAAUGGCAAAUUAUAAAGUGCACUGCCAAAGUGCUAUGAUAAUUGUUAUCGACAAAUGUACGUACAAAGAGUACUGCAUUAGAAUGUUUCAAAGCAACUAAUAGUGUUUGCUAGCAGAACUAUAAGGUGAAAAAAUUUAGAAAAAUAGAACUACCUGUCUCACUAAAACCUUACAUAAAAUAUCCCCAUUUUUAUUUGAUUAAUAUAUAAACAAACUGACCUCUAAAUCCACAAAAUAAUUUCUUAAUGCACACUCAGACUUGCAUAAAUAUUGAGACUGAAAGAUGGGUCAUGAGAAUAGCUGAGAGAUGGUGACAACCAUGAAAAGACAUACCUAAUUUAAAAAGAGAGAUCAUGGCAAGGACUGGUGUGUACAUGCUAAAUAGGCUGGAGAGGGAGCAGAGCUGGUAGAAGGUAACAGACAUCAACUAAGUUGGAAUAGAACAAGUGGUCAUAAACAAAAGUGAUCGUGAAACUCAGAAAAGUAGAAUGAAAGUUGAUUUAUAUAUAAAUUGUUUAUAUGUAUAUAUACAUAUACAUGCAAUUAGGACUAUAUAUAUAUGUAUACAUAUAUAUAUACACACUGCAGAGUUACUAAGUAAAAUUCAUUUGUAAUGCAAAUUAGAUAAAUUUUAGAAUGAUUUAUAGUUGAAAUUUUGCCACAACUAGCUCACAAAAUUAUGAGAAUGAAACAUAACAGUUGUGAAAGUGCUAACUCUAAAAUGCUAUAUUCACAAAAGACACAAUAUUUACUCAAAAUGCAAAGAGAAGACAAACAAUAAGCUCUCUGGAGCACAGAUGGGAGAAAAUCUUACUCUGGUCCAUUCCCAGAUUUUUUUGGAAGCACAGGUUCUCCAGUCACUCUAUUGGAUGGCUUUAAAUGCAGAACAAAGACACUAUAAUUUGGUCUAAUGGACAUGAUGGCAAAGUCACAGAAAUGCGUGGAGAAAAUUUUCAGUCUGUGGAAGAAAGAGAUUCCCUUUCCUGCCUCUUAACCCACAUAAAGUCUUAUCGCCUGCACAAGUGUGAUCUCAAAUAAUACUAAUUUAUUCUCUUUGAGGAAGGGAAUAAGAGGGGCAGGAAAGGUAAUAAAAAUUUGCUAAAACAUGCCAAAAUACAAAACAUUUUCCUUUAAAACUACUAGAAUAGAAAAACAACUCUAAGAUGCAUCACGUAUAUGUAAAUUACAAUGACAGCUUUACACCUAGGGAACUAAAGUUAGUGAAAAGAAAUGACUUAUUUAAGGCCACUUAUUCAACACCACAAAGUCAAUAUUUCUAAGUCUGAGUCACAUCAAAGCCCUGGCACUUUGCCCAACACAGCCUAU